This is a long non-coding RNA of Carcharodon carcharias (great white shark), 680 nucleotides long. RefSeq lists it as uncharacterized. The transcript is spliced from 3 exons. The record is from RefSeq and is a predicted model, not a curated record. Lineage: Eukaryota; Metazoa; Chordata; Chondrichthyes; Lamniformes; Lamnidae.
UGUUAUGGACAAGGAAAAAUACACGAAGAUAUUCUGAAACAAAUGGACAUUACUAUAUGUGGAGAAGAUCCUGGGAUUCCAUGUAUUCUGUUCGUUUACAAAAUUUCUUGUGAUAUUGAGGAUCUCCGCAACGCUCUACAAUGAGUUCAAAUGAAUCGGGGAAUACAAAGGGAAGACAUAUGCACCAUGAUCCUGCUGGAAAAGGUUUGGAAUAAACAAGAUAAGCCAAUAGAAGUAGAUCACCAAGGUGUGUUCGAUGAAGAAACUGUGGUUGUGCGAAUUCUCUGGGGAGAGCAGUGGUCCGGUGCCAAAGUUCAGAAGGGACCCAGAUACCAGAACGCAAUGGAGAAAGUUAAUCGGAGCAUCAGGGUGAGAGAACACAAUUGAAGAUGCUGUCUAACCUGUUGAGUAUUUCUCACUGUGACCUUGCACUGGAGUGUGACCUCAAUGGAGUGUGAGAGUUUGGUGAGCUGAGGGAAUCGUUAUAGUGUAGAAAGAGGCAAUCCGGCCCAUCAAGUCUGCACUGGCUCUCUGAAACAGCAUUCUGCCUCGUCCCACUCGCCUGCCUUAUCCCCGUAACCUUGUAUGUUCUUUCUUUUCAGAUAGCAAUCCAAUUCCCUUUUAAAUAUCUCAAUUGAACCAACCUCCACUACCCUCUCAGGAAGUUAGUUUCAGACUCC